Molecule: transfer RNA, 73 nt
Filed under: Cordylochernes scorpioides
Lineage: Eukaryota; Metazoa; Arthropoda; Arachnida; Pseudoscorpiones; Chernetidae
Description: tRNA-Thr
Rfam family: tRNA
About the family: Transfer RNA (tRNA) molecules are approximately 80 nucleotides in length. Their secondary structure includes four short double-helical elements and three loops (D, anti-codon, and T loops). Further hydrogen bonds mediate the characteristic L-shaped molecular structure. tRNAs have two regions of fundamental functional importance: the anti-codon, which is responsible for specific mRNA codon recognition, and the 3' end, to which the tRNAs corresponding amino acid is attached (by aminoacyl-tRNA synthetases). tRNAs cope with the degeneracy of the genetic code in two manners: having more than one tRNA (with a specific anti-codon) for a particular amino acid; and 'wobble' base-pairing, i.e. permitting non-standard base-pairing at the 3rd anti-codon position.
Source: RNAcentral
UCCAGGGUAGCCUAGUGGACAUGGCAUCUGCCCGGUAAGCGGAACACUAUGGGUUCGAUUCCCAUCUCUGGAC